Molecule: unclassified non-coding RNA, 328 nt
Filed under: soil metagenome
Description: partial contains 5.8S ribosomal RNA, internal transcribed spacer 2, and large subunit ribosomal RNA
Rfam family: 5.8S ribosomal RNA (bases 1-120)
Source: RNAcentral
GAUGAAGAACGUAGCGAAAUGCGAUAAGUAGUGUGAAUUGCAGAAUUCAGUGAAUCAUCGAAUCUUUGAACGCACAUUGCGCCCCUUGGUAUUCCAUGGGGCAUGCCUGUUCGAGCGUCAUUAUAACCCCUCAAGCUCAGCUUGGUGUUGGGGCCUGCUGCACUGGCAGCCCUUAAAAUCAGUGGCGGCGCCAUCUGGCUCUAAGCGUAGUAAUUCUUCUCGCUAUGGAGUCCUGGUGGAUGCUUGCCAUCAACCCCCAAUUUUUCUAUGGUUGACCUCGGAUCAGGUAGGGAUACCCGCUGAACUUAAGCAUAUCAAUAGCGGAGGA